GUUACAUUAUAGUCCCUAUCUAUAACAUUGUAGCUAUCUGUACCAACAUGAUAUAUAGGGCUUGUUGGACAGUAACAAUGGCGGGUCUAUGAUAAAUAGACGGGCAUCUAUAAAAGCGCUGCACUAUUAGCAGAUUGCUAAACGAUGUC
RNAcentral lists this non-coding RNA (149 nucleotides) under unclassified sequences. The record is from RNAcentral.